RNAcentral lists this ribosomal RNA (208 nucleotides) under uncultured bacterium. Its description in RNAcentral is "partial 16S ribosomal RNA". It matches the Rfam family "Bacterial small subunit ribosomal RNA", at positions 568 to 775 of the family's 1533-position model. The record is from RNAcentral.
CGCGUAGGUGGUUUGGUCAGUCAGAUGUGAAAGCCCUGGGCUUAACCUGGGAAUUGCAUUUGAUACUGCCAGACUAGAGUAUGGUAGAGGGAAGUGGAAUUCCGGGUGUAGCGGUGAAAUGCGUAGAUAUCCGGAGGAACAUCAGUGGCGAAGGCGGCUUCCUGGACCAAUACUGACACUGAGGUGCGAAAGCGUGGGUAGCAAAACA